Molecule: non-coding RNA, 253 nt
Filed under: Nitrospira moscoviensis
Lineage: Bacteria; Pseudomonadati; Nitrospirota; Nitrospiria; Nitrospirales; Nitrospiraceae
Also listed under: 3 other names
Description: partial 16S ribosomal RNA
Rfam family: Bacterial small subunit ribosomal RNA
Source: RNAcentral
UACGAAGGUGGCAAGCGUUGUUCGGAUUCACUGGGCGUACAGGGAGCGUAGGCGGUUGGGUAAGCCCUCCGUGAAAUCUCCGGGCCUAACCCGGAAAGUGCAGAGGGGACUGCUCGGCUUGAGGACGGGAGAGGAGCGCGGAAUUCCCGGUGUAGCGGUGAAAUGCGUAGAGAUCGGGAGGAAGGCCGGUGGCGAAGGCGGCGCUCUGGAACGUUUCUGACGCUGAGGCUCGAAAGCGUGGGGAGCAAACAGG